GACGAACGCUGGCGGCGUGCUUAACACAUGCAAGUCGAACGAAGUGGCGAAAGGGUGGGUAACGCGAAAUCAACCUGCCCUUCAGAGGGGGACAACAGGUGGAAACGACUGCUAAUACCGCAUACUGAAGGAGGGGAUUGCGUCUGAUUAGCUAGUUGGAGGGGUACCGGCCCACCCAGGCGAUGAUCAGUAGCCGUUCUGAGAGGAUGAACGGCCACAUUGGGACUGAGACACGGCCCAGACUCCUACGGUAGGCAGCAGUGGGGAAUCUUCCGCAAUGGACGAAAGUCUGACGAAGCAACGCCGCGUGAGUGAUGACGGCCUUCGGGUUGUAAAGCUCUGUUAAUCGGGACGCGGUACCGGAAUAGAAAGCCACGGCUAACUACGUGCCAGCAGCCGCGGUAAUUC
This 408-nucleotide ribosomal RNA is filed under the name uncultured bacterium. RNAcentral's name for it is "partial 16S ribosomal RNA". It matches the Rfam family "Bacterial small subunit ribosomal RNA", at positions 28 to 526 of the family's 1533-position model. The record is from RNAcentral.